AAAAGUAGCCCUGCAGCUCCAGGUUUUACUGAGUCUGUUACUAUGACUAUGCUUCACUUUUGGGGGGUUGUUUCUGCUCUGAAUUUAAAUGAAAUAGCUAUGUGGAAGAAAAACUGCAAACUUCUAGAAAAUAAAAAAACCUACCUACUUUCAGCUGCCACUGUGUCCACAUCCAUAAAAAUCCCCUCCACUCCCCAUGGAUUUCAACAUGCAGUUUAUCUCAUUAGUUCCAUAAAACAUCAGAUGCAACGUUAAUGGCCUCACCCCAAAAAGAUAACUGGACAGCCCUCAAACAUUCAGCAGCAUUCCAAAUAACCUUUUGCUGGAGCCGGCCUUCUACGGGGCCGUGUGGAUGUCAGACACACACAACGUGAGUCACGCUGACAUAGCUGAGAUGCCUGGGUUGCGAUGGCAUCUCAGGGGUACCAAUCACAGGCCAGAGAGAAGCCAUUGGCUGGAA
Molecule: long non-coding RNA, 460 nt
Filed under: Lynx pardinus (Iberian lynx)
Lineage: Eukaryota; Metazoa; Chordata; Mammalia; Carnivora; Felidae
Source: RNAcentral